This 193-nucleotide ribosomal RNA is filed under the name uncultured bacterium. RNAcentral's name for it is "partial 16S ribosomal RNA". The record is from RNAcentral.
GUCCCGUUCGACAGGAGUUUACGACCCGAAGAUCUUCGUCCUCCACGCGGCGUUGCGUCGUCAGGCUUGCGCCCAUUGCGAACAAUUCCCCACUGCUGCCUCCCGUAGGAGUCUGGGCCGUGUCUCAGUCCCAGUGUGUCCGUCCGCCCUCUCAGGCCGGAUACUGAUCGUCGCCUUGGUGAGCCAUUACCUC